This 432-nucleotide ribosomal RNA is filed under the name uncultured bacterium. RNAcentral's name for it is "partial 16S ribosomal RNA". It matches the Rfam family "Bacterial small subunit ribosomal RNA", at positions 29 to 507 of the family's 1533-position model. The record is from RNAcentral.
ACGAACGCUGGCGGCAGGCCUAACACAUGCAAGUCGAGCGAGGACUUCGGUUCUAGCGGCGGACGGGUGAGUAACGCGUGGGAAUGUGCCCUUCUCUACGGAAUAGCCCUGGGAAACUGGGAGUAAUACCGUAUACGCCCUAUUGAGGAAAGAUUUAUCGGAGAAGGAUCAGCCCGCGUUGGAUUAGGUAGUUGGUGGGGUAAUGGCCUACCAAGCCGACGAUCCAUAGCUGGUUUGAGAGGAUGAUCAGCCACACUGGGACUGAGACACGGCCCAGACUCCUACGGGAGGCAGCAGUGGGGAAUCUUAGACAAUGGGGGCAACCCUGAUCUAGCCAUGCCGCGUGAGUGAUGAAGGCCUUAGGGUUGUAAAGCUCUUUCAGCUGGGAAGAUAAUGACGGUACCAGCAGAAGAAGCCCCGGCUAACUCCGUG